AUGUCGCUCAUGCCUUGGUUCGGCGGUGGCCGGGGAGGGAUGGACCCCUUCUCCUCCGACCUCUGGGACCCCUUCGGCUCUCCUUGGCCCUUGGACGGCGGCCGCCGCGAAGGCGGCAGCCGUGACGACGCGACCGCCAUGGCUCGCACCAACGUCGACUGGCACGAGAACGACAAGGAGCACAUCUUCUCCGCGGAGAUCCCCGGGGUGCGGAAGGAGGACGUGAAGGUGGAGGUGGAGGACGGCAACGUGCUCAAGAUCAGCGGGGAGAAGACGCGGGAGGAGGAGCACAAGGGCGACGCCUGGAACCGCGUGGAGCGCAGCUUCGGGUCCUUCAUGCGCCGGUUCCGCCUGCCGGAGAACGCCAAGGCGGACGGCAUCCGGUGCACCAUGCAGGACGGCGUGCUCAGGGUCGUCGUGCCCAAGGACGAAGAGGCCCAGAAGCAGCGCAACGUCCGCUCCAUCGACAUCGCCUAA
RNAcentral lists this ribosomal RNA (477 nucleotides) under Triticum aestivum (bread wheat). RNAcentral's name for it is "partial small subunit ribosomal RNA". Lineage: Eukaryota; Viridiplantae; Streptophyta; Magnoliopsida; Poales; Poaceae. The record is from RNAcentral.